UGAAAACUUUUUACAUAAUUU
Molecule: non-coding RNA, 21 nt
Filed under: Caenorhabditis elegans
Lineage: Eukaryota; Metazoa; Nematoda; Chromadorea; Rhabditida; Rhabditidae
Source: RNAcentral